UACGUAGGGUCCGAGCGUUGUCCGGAAUUACUGGGCGUAAAGAGCUCGUAGGUGGUUUGUCGCGUUGUUCGUGAAAACUCACAGCUCAACUGUGGGCGUGCGGGCGAUACGGGCAGACUUGAGUACUGCAGGGGAGACUGGAAUUCCUGGUGUAGCGGUGGAAUGCGCAGAUAUCAGGAGGAACACCGAUGGCGAAGGCAGGUCUCUGGGCCACUACUGACGCUGAGAAGCGAAAGCGUGGGGAGCGAACAGG
Molecule: ribosomal RNA, 253 nt
Filed under: uncultured bacterium
Lineage: Bacteria
Description: partial 16S ribosomal RNA
Rfam family: Bacterial small subunit ribosomal RNA
Source: RNAcentral